UCCUGAAGGAACGUUGAAGACGACGACGUUGAUAGGCCGGGUGUGUAAGCGCAGCGAUGCGUUGAGCUAACCGGUACUAAUGAACCGUGAGGCUUAACCUU
Molecule: ribosomal RNA, 101 nt
Filed under: Escherichia coli
Lineage: Bacteria; Pseudomonadati; Pseudomonadota; Gammaproteobacteria; Enterobacterales; Enterobacteriaceae
Also listed under: 78 other names
Description: partial 23S ribosomal RNA
Rfam family: Bacterial large subunit ribosomal RNA
Source: RNAcentral